Molecule: ribosomal RNA, 496 nt
Filed under: uncultured Glomus
Lineage: Eukaryota; Fungi; Glomeromycota; Glomeromycetes; Glomerales; Glomeraceae
Description: SSU rRNA
Rfam family: Eukaryotic small subunit ribosomal RNA
Source: RNAcentral
AGCAGCCGCGGUAAUUCCAGCUCCAAUAGCGUAUAUUAAAGUUGUUGCAGUUAAAAAGCUCGUAGUUGAAUUUCGGGAUCAAUACGUCGGUCGUGCUUCGGUACGUACUGGCGUAAUUGAUUUCUCCCUUCUGACGAACCAUGAUGUCAUUAACUUGGUGUCAUGGGAAAUCAGGACUGUUACUUUGAAAAAAUUAGAGUGUUUAAAGCAGGCUCACGCUUGAAUACAUUAGCAUGGAAUAAUGAAAUAGGACGUUCGAUCCUAUUUUGUUGGUUUUUAGGAUCAACGUAAUGAUUAAUAGGGAUAGUUGGGGGCAUUAGUAUUCAAUUGUCAGAGGUGAAAUUCUUGGAUUUAUUGAAGACUAACUACUGCGAAAGCAUUUGCCAAGGAUGUUUUCAUUAAUCAAGAACGAAAGUUAGGGGAUCGAAGACGAUCAGAUACCGUCGUAGUCUUAACCAUAAACUAUGCCGACUAGGGAUCGGAUGAUGUACUUAAU